UUCAAAUACACAAUUAUAGUGCUCCAGACCUGCUGAAAAUAUUUUUUGUGUAUUUAGUCAAAUUACUUAUUUUCUGUGCCUGUGUUAUAUAUUUCAUCAGGGUGUUUGCCCACCUGAGUAAUGGCACCAAAGCGGGCAGCAACAACAACACACUCUGUCAGUGUCCACACAGGCUCUUCUGUCAAAAUGAUGAAGAUCGGCAUGGAUCAUUCUCUGGAGGAUUUCGGUGAGGUAAUAGAAGAGAAGUACAGAAUACCAGAUGAUGGAUAUUCACCCAUAGAGGGUGAACCAAUCACCUUCGAGGAAGAAGACGAUCAAAGUCCUGAAACGAGAACCGACACCAUAACUCUCCUGAUGAAAAUUGAUCAGCUCCAAGCAGAACUGAAAUAUGAGCGCAGAUGCAGGCAGAUGGCUGAGAGGGAACUGAAACAGAUGAAAGAGAUGAAUGACCUGAUGACCCAGAUGAGACACACUGCCCAUGACCUGAGGACUGUUCUGGACCAUGCCCGGGGGCAGCAGGGGAAUGAUGUGAACGAUGUUGUGAACGACGCAGUCACCCCAGAGAGCUGUGAGGGGCAGAGCAUCUCUUAUGCGGACGUGCCAGUUCAGAUGUCACAGGUGGUGUCACAGGAGGUAGAGGACGCUAACUAUAUCCACCUCCCCGGGGGUCUGAGAGUGCAGAGGAAUCUGUACAAGGGGAUCUCAGAGAUCAUGGACUUCAAGAAGUACAUCUCAGCCAUGCUGAUGGUGCUGUUUGACAGGGAGACGCUGGGCACACACAGUCUGCAGGGCAGGAGGUGUAACAUCGCCAAAGAGGAAACCCAGAAACCUCAACUUCCCCCUGACAUCAUGAGAGGCCUUCUAGAUCACGUGAGGAUAAAGUUUGGUGUGGAUUACAGUGCGAUUCGAGCUGCCGUCAGAACAAAGUUAAAUAAUGAAGACAAACUGUUGAAGAAGAGACUUGGGAUCCGUUAAAUCUCCAGUCAAAACAAUUAAAAUAACCAAAUACCAGGUUAUAAUCACACAAUUGUUUACAUUGCAAUUACUGUAUUCUGUCCUGUAAGUGCAAUGUUUUAUUCCACCAACAGAUGUCAGUGUUUAAACAGUUUAGUUGGUUGAUGUUACUUUUGAUAAGAAGGAUAUUGACUUUGUCUGUUUGUAUGAUUUAAGAGUACUGUAGACUACACAUAUUAUAGAUUACAUUUGUGAUAGAUUCACUCACAUAGUAGCCUUAACAACACAUUAUUCUAUAAUGAUUGUGCCUGUUAAAUAAAUGUCUUUCUGAUUCCCACUCAUCUCACAACAUCCAAUCUGGUUUCACUAAACUAUUAAAUUACAAUUUUUUAUAUAAAAGAAAACAUGUUAAACCCCUAACUGUGUGUGUCUGUACUCUUAGCACCCAGGGCAGUCCUGGAGGGACAGGAGGAGGACAGAGAAUGUGUGUGUAGGCUGAGGAAUCACAGCCAUAGACUGACUGAGAGAUGAGAGAAACAGAGUGUGGGCGGGACAAUGAGGGUGGGUGUGGUUUCACAAAAGCAUCCUCACCAAUGAUCCUCUGAUGUGCUUCUAACGGUGACCUAUGGAUAGCCCCUCCCCCAGCCAGUUGUUCUGUCUCUGAGGACCCUAGUCUGCACAUCUAUCAGUCUAUCACUACUCUCCUCUGACACCUUCACCAGUCCUACCCAGAAGUCCUUCCCACAGGACAUCCAUCCAUCAGGGAUACUUAUCAACCCAAGGACCAAGACUGCCAGGAACCAGGGUAAUAGAAGGAGCAGCCAGCCUUAGUGAGUUGUCCCUGGGGUCAACUCGAGAGGUUGAUGGGUACUAAGAGAAGUCUGUAGAGUUAGGAACAGGUGCACCUGUUUUACUGUCUGAUUGACCCGAGCCAGACACCAGAGCCCCACAGCUGGCCUGGAGACAUACUGUAAUAGAGUUCCACUUGGACAGAAAACACCAGCACCUUUUCAGGUAGUUGUACCCUUUUAACUCAAAUGGAGUGAAAGUGUGACAGGAGGAUUUUAUAAAGGAUUUAUGAUACACACAUUUCAUGUCAGGUGAGCUGUGAUUUAAUUAUUUCAAAUUUGAUUUGAUUUCAAUUAUUUCAAUCAAAAAGGUUUAUUGUGGUUUAAAGUAAUUUACUAACUAGAUUUUUUUGCCUGGUAUACACUGAAAUAAAUACUAUUGAUACUUAUUGUGUAAUUAGAUUUUAGAUAUAUGAAAACUCUUAGCUUACAUGUUGAAAUAAGCUCAGGUAGCCUAUUAUUUAGCUAGAGCUCAGUGCGUUGGGUUUAAUCGAUACAGUAAACAGUCUAGAAGAGUUGUAUGCUGAUGUGAACUAGAAUUUUCCUGCUGUGGUACAUAAAGAGAAUGUCUCAUAUAAAGAGGUGUGAUUUAUUUGUGGCAGAUGUUUUCAUUUCAAUCAAAUGACACUAGAUCACUUUUUCAAGUACAUAGACUUGUGAAUGUCCUCUUGCGCUUCGGUAACUGACAGUCCUUUUCAAUUGUCCG
Salmo trutta (river trout) is the source of this 2508-nucleotide long non-coding RNA. Lineage: Eukaryota; Metazoa; Chordata; Actinopteri; Salmoniformes; Salmonidae. The record is from Ensembl.